This 72-nucleotide transfer RNA is filed under the name Camelus bactrianus (Bactrian camel). It matches the Rfam family "tRNA". Rfam says of the family: Transfer RNA (tRNA) molecules are approximately 80 nucleotides in length. The record is from Rfam by way of RNAcentral. RNAcentral also lists the same sequence under 1 other name. Lineage: Eukaryota; Metazoa; Chordata; Mammalia; Artiodactyla; Camelidae.
GAGGGUAUAGCUCAGUGGUAGAGUAUGUGUUUAGCAUGCACAAGGUCUUGGGUUCAAUCCCCAGUACUUCUG